Molecule: long non-coding RNA, 1227 nt
Organism: Pan troglodytes (chimpanzee)
Lineage: Eukaryota; Metazoa; Chordata; Mammalia; Primates; Hominidae
Exons: 4
Source: RefSeq, a predicted model, not a curated record
GGAUUCAGAAUGUGUUGCUGGACUUCAAGAUAGGAAGAAUCUUUGCCUUGAUGGCUGAUGACAGUAACCACCCCACCUACCAUCAUCUAUUAAGGAUUUACUGUGUGGUCACUUUACAGUCAUCCAAGUAAAUUUUCGUAAUCACCUGAUUACAUGGGUACCGCUUUUCAGAAAAAGAAACAGAUUUCUGGAGGGAUUCAGAAUCCAUGGCUGGAAGAGGUAGUAAGGCCAUUGGGAGGGGUCUCCAUUCUGAAAUUUCCAUUCAGCUGACAGAAGAGAGCUGCUACCUCACUUCAGCAAUGGAAAAUGUUGCUGUAAAUCCCAUCGGACCAGCCAGUUUCUCACGACCCUUUAAAACUGAAAACGGAUGACCCGGUCCUAGGCAGGGACCAAAAUUCCUUGUCAGCUGAGGAAGUCCCGAAGAAACAUCCUGAAGAUGAUGACUGCACUGCCAUCGUGGGCAGAUGCAGCUUCCAUCUACCUGAGGGCUGAAGGGGAAAACCUUUCACACACGUGAGGAAGGCGCAGCUCUGUGGAAAGGUCACUAGAAUGGCAGCGGCAGCAAAUAGGGCUCCAAUGCACGUUUGCAGUUAACUGGGUCCAAGGAGAGCAUGGCCCUCCACAGCAAGUUUGCUCUAUAGAAUAAAGUCCUGAGCUUGUUUUUAUCACAGUUAGACAGAGAAUGGUCUCCUGUUUCUCAGUUAUCCAGGGAAGAACAGUGUAUAUUCUCUGUAGAUGAGUGUUGUCUAAUGUAGUGAUUAAUCUCUGCUAGUGUUAGGAAAGCUCCACUACUGUGUGUGUGUGUGUGCGUGCACGCGCGUGCGCAUGUGCACAUACUGCAAUCUUGACUUUCCAAUUACAGAAUGCCUAAGUCAGGUCACAUUGUCUUCUUCCAGCCAGUUUCUAAGGCAGGCAAUGGAAACAGGAGCCGAUGCCAAAUGGUCUAGAGGCAGAAGGGCUGCAUGCUUUGCAGGGCCAGCCCCAAGGCUGCCUUCCAGAGCUGCACUUUCUCUGGGGACAGUAAACUCUCACCGCAGCUGCCAGCCCCCUGUGCUUGGCCAUGCCCCUCACAUGGACUUGGAAUCAGUGUCUCUCUUGCUGAUGAGCACCUCCAGGAGCCUCAGUUUCGCCUUUAUGUGCUUAUAUUCACUGUAUUCUUCAGCCAUAGGAGUGCGGUCUUCCUUCUGGACAUUUCUAAUGCAAAUAAAGGAAAAAGGGGUCUAAGGA